This 1382-nucleotide long non-coding RNA is filed under the name Callithrix jacchus (white-tufted-ear marmoset). RNAcentral describes it as "lncRNA (ENSCJAG00000053213.2)". Lineage: Eukaryota; Metazoa; Chordata; Mammalia; Primates; Cebidae. The record is from RNAcentral.
GUGGCUGCACCCCCACCCUGGCCUGCAGCUCAGGCCUCGGCAGAGCGGGUUUCUCAGGGCAACCCCCUAUCUGGAGCCAGCUUCCUGGCCGUUGCCAUGGGAACUGCUUCCUCGUUGCCAAAUGCUGCUGACCAGGGAAAAUGAGUUGGGCAGAUGGGAAGGAUGGGAUGGAUGGAGGGAGGACCAGAGCUGGAUGGGCAGGAAUGAGAUGGCUUCUGGGUGGGCCUGGAUGGGCCGCAUGAAGGGGAGGGGAUGAUCAUCUCUGUCUCAUCAGUGGGCAUUCGGACAGCAUGGACUCAGGGGACUCCCACCUGCUGGAAGCUGGAGGUGGGAAGGUGGCUCCCGGAGGAACCAGCCCCAUGCAGGACCAGUGACCGUAUGAAGGACGCUUCUCAUCCCAUCACUUCAGCUUUAAUCAACCAGCCCCGUGCCGGCCGGGCUGGCCCUCUGGGGGCAGAUGUCUGCGGUGCCCUUUCAGAAGCCGGCACACUGGGGAGGAGCUGGAAUCUGCCACUGGGCACCGACAUUGUUCGCGGCUGGAGGCCAAGCUGCCGAGAAUGUAAAUUUCUAAUUAAAAUAGGAAUUAAUCCUCUCUCCCAACUACCUGCUAUCUCCAGCUGGAUGAGCAAAAGUUGAUGCCGCUAAUUAAUGUUAUCGCCCAGAAGCUUUAUUUACGGAAGCAGAUGGAAUUCACGUGGCUUUGCGGGAGCUGAUGGAGAAAGUGAAAAAAAUUAAUUACCUUGAUCCUCCGCCUUGUAUUCUAAUCACAGACUGGCAGGGUCCCUCUUCGGCUUUCCCCAAAGCCCACCACUGGUGCUUUCUUUCAUGAACUGGGCACUUGUUCCAAAUACAGGGAGAAAAAGCUGAAAAUUGCCGUGAGCGGCUCAGAGAAAAGAGGAGCGUUUGCUGGCACUUGGACUGCCGGACGGACGGGAAGAUAACCGUUCCUGGCAUUGGGUGUUUUUGUUACCCAGCAAAGCAGAUUCUAAAUUUCAAAUUAAGAUCUUGAAAAGUUCCUGGCAGAUUAAUAAAUCACACUAACUGCUGUGCGUUCUGCAGGUUUUUUUCAGGGAGGUUUGAGUCUGGGGACAGUUCUGUCCCUUCCCUGGAGGGGCCAUACCUUCCUGUCCUCCCGGGGAGGGCCCCCAGACAAGUGGAGGACGGAAGCGCUGUCCCCUUGCUGGAGGGCUCUUUCCUUCAAGCUGUGGCUGGGACCCAGUCAGCUGUCUGUCUCUCUGCUCGCAUGAAAUGAAACUCAGACGUUCAAGUCGGCUGCUGUGUGCCUCGGUGACGCUGGCCCAGGGUGCUGAGAGCUAUGUUCCUGAGGAGGGAGUGGUGGAGUGGGGCAGUUAGUCAAUCCGCAGACAUGCGGUGGGAGCCCC